This 472-nucleotide ribosomal RNA is filed under the name uncultured bacterium. RNAcentral describes it as "bacterial SSU rRNA". It matches the Rfam family "Bacterial small subunit ribosomal RNA", at positions 355 to 825 of the family's 1533-position model. The record is from RNAcentral.
UGGGGAAUUUUUCGCAAUGGGCGCAAGCCUGACGAAGCAACGCCGCGUGGAGGAUGAAGGUCUUCGGAUUGUAAACUCCUGUCGACCGGGACGAAUGCACCCGACCUAAUACGUCGAAGUGUUGACGGUACCGGUGGAGGAAGCCACGGCUAACUCUGUGCCAGCAGCCGCGGUAAUACAGAGGUGGCAAGCGUUGUUCGGAAUUACUGGGCGUAAAGGGCGCGUAGGCGGCCUGAUAAGUCUCGUGUGAAAGCCCUCGGCUUAACUGAGGAUCUGCACGGGAUACUGUUGGGCUUGAGUUCGGGAGAGGAAAGCGGAAUUCCGGGUGUAGCGGUGAAAUGCGUAGAUAUCCGGAGGAACACCAGUGGCGAAGGCGGCUUUCUGGGCUGAUACUGACGCUGAAGCGCGAAAGCUAGGGUAGCAAACGGGAUUAGAUACCCAAGUAGUCCCUGAGCGGGCUGGCAAGGCGCAU